GACAGAGGCCUCAAGCGUUAGGCGGAAUCACUGGGCUUAAAGCGUGUGUAGGCGGAUCGUUAAGUACCUUGUGAAAUCCCACGGCUCACCCGUGGAACUGCUGGGUAUACUGGCGAUCUUGGGCCAACUAGGGGCAGCUGGAACAAGCGGUGGAGCGGUGAAAUGCGUAGAUAUCGCGUGGAACGCCGAAGGUGAAAACAGGCUGCUGGGGUUGUGCCGACGCUGAGACACGAAAGCCAGGGGAGCAAACGGG
Molecule: ribosomal RNA, 253 nt
Filed under: uncultured bacterium
Lineage: Bacteria
Description: partial 16S ribosomal RNA
Rfam family: Bacterial small subunit ribosomal RNA
Source: RNAcentral